Molecule: ribosomal RNA, 433 nt
Filed under: uncultured bacterium
Lineage: Bacteria
Description: partial 16S ribosomal RNA
Rfam family: Bacterial small subunit ribosomal RNA
Source: RNAcentral
AACGAACGCUGGCGGCAUGCCUAACACAUGCAAGUCGAACGAGACCUUCAGGUCUAGUGGCGCACGGGUGCGUAACGCGUGGGAACCUGCCCUUAGGUUCGGAAUAACUCCCCGAAAGGGGUGCUAAUACCGGAUAAUGUCUUCGGACCAAAGAUUUAUCGCCUUUGGAUGGGCCCGCGUUGGAUUAGCUAGUUGGUAGGGUAAAAGCCUACCAAGGCGACGAUCCAUAGCUGGUCUGAGAGGAUGAUCAGCCACACUGGGACUGAGACACGGCCCAGACUCCUACGGGAGGCAGCAGUGGGGAAUAUUGGACGAUGGGCGAAAGCCUGAUCCAGCAAUGCCGCGUGAGUGAUGAGGGCCUUAGGGUUGUAAAGCUCUUUUACCCGGGAUGAUAAUGACAGUACCGGGAGAAUAAGCUCCGGCUAACUCCGUG